CAGCCGCCGCGGUAAUACGUAGGGGGCGAGCGUUACCCGGAUUCACUGGGCGUAAAGCGGGUGUAGGCGGCUCGGUAAGUCGGGUGUGAAAUCCCACAGCUCAACUGUGGAAUUGCGCCCGAAACUGCUGAGCUUGGGGCCGGUAGAGGGAGACGGAACUGCCGGUGUAGGGGUGAAAUCCGUAGAUAUCGGCAGGAACGCCGGUGGGGAAGCCGGCCUCCUGGGCCGCGCCCGACGCUGAGACCCGAAAGCUAGGGGAGCAAACCGGAUUAGAUACCCGGGUAGUCCUAGCCGUAAACGAUGCCCACUAGGUGUGGGGGAUUAAUUCCUCCGUGCUGUAGCUAACGCGUUAAGUGGGCCGCCUGGGGAGUACGCCCGCAAGGGUGAAACUUAAAGGAAUUGGCGGG
Molecule: ribosomal RNA, 407 nt
Filed under: uncultured microorganism
Description: bacterial SSU rRNA
Rfam family: Bacterial small subunit ribosomal RNA
Source: RNAcentral